AUUCUGUGUGGCUUUCUCUUCCUGGCAGGGCUCUGAAGAAAGCUCUGUAUUUUGUGGAAUGGGGGCUUCUAAUCCUCUCUACGCGUAACGGUCAGUCUCUUCAAAAGGGGAGGGGCGGUGUGCUAGAGAAUUCCUCAGGAAGAAAUGAUCUAGAAAUGGCUCUGAAGUGAGCCUCUGACAUCAUCAUGCCUCUAAGAAAAACCAAGAGUGAGAAGGUCUUUUAAGGCCCGGGAGGCAGUGGAGGUAAACUGUGAGCUAUCAGGGGUCUGGACACAUCACCCUCUUGCUUGCAUCUUCCAUAGCACCCGGAGCACUAAAAGGACUUGAAGACAGAUUUUCUACUAAGUGCCUCUUCCUGUCCAGCUCCAGAAUCUACUGCCCACUGUGCUGCUUACUAGUCCAUUGAAAACCCCUGAGGAUCGGUGGUACCCAUUCAUCCAAUCCACAGAGGAUUCAGAGCUAUCCAGAGAUUGGUGCCUCCAUACAUGCUGGGAAUGUUGAGAAUGGCAAUGCCUUCAAGGAAGAUGCUGCUCAGAUUCUCUUCCUGCUUCUACCUACUGCUCCUAUUCCCUCUGCUGAAGCCAGACAGAUUGACCCUCCAUCCUCCUCCAUGGGGACAGACCACCAGAUACAAGAUACAAUCAUCAUCAUCACUGUUCAUAUAUAGUAAGCACUGCCAUUUGCCAGAUGAGGAAACAUGGACUCAGUGAAACUAAGGAAGGUCCUUCUUUUCUGAAUUUAUCCAGGUUCGUGGUAGGCUUCACAGGCCUGAAGAUUUCCUGCAUGAAAUGCAAUCAGCUUAAGAGACAGUCCAACUUAGACAGCAUCUACCUGAUGCUGUUAACCUUGUGCUUUGAUACCUAUAAGACCACUUCUUGAGUAUUCUAGA
Long non-coding RNA from Hyaena hyaena (striped hyena), 889 nucleotides. RefSeq lists it as uncharacterized. The transcript is spliced from 7 exons. The record is from RefSeq and is a predicted model, not a curated record. Lineage: Eukaryota; Metazoa; Chordata; Mammalia; Carnivora; Hyaenidae.